ACGCUCGACACCUACCGGAGGCAGCAGUGGGGAAUAUUGCACAAUGGGGGAAACCCUGAUGCAGCGACGCCGCGUGAGUGAAGAAGUAUUUCGGUAUGUAAAGCUCUAUCAGCAGGGAAGAAAAUGACGGUACCUGACUAAGAAGCCCCGGCUAACUACGUACCAGCAGCCGCGGUAAUCUGAGCGGGCUGGCAAGGC
Molecule: ribosomal RNA, 198 nt
Filed under: uncultured bacterium
Lineage: Bacteria
Description: partial 16S ribosomal RNA
Rfam family: Bacterial small subunit ribosomal RNA
Source: RNAcentral